Molecule: ribosomal RNA, 120 nt
Filed under: Colletotrichum tanaceti
Lineage: Eukaryota; Fungi; Ascomycota; Sordariomycetes; Glomerellales; Glomerellaceae
Also listed under: 1 other name
Source: RNAcentral
ACAUACGACCAUACCCACUGGAGAACUCGGGAUCCCGUCCGCUCUCUCAUAGAUAAGCCAGUGAGGGCCGGAUUAGUAGUUGGGUCGGUGACGACCAGCGAAUACCUGGUGUUGUAUGUU